Molecule: ribosomal RNA, 398 nt
Filed under: uncultured bacterium
Lineage: Bacteria
Description: partial 16S ribosomal RNA
Rfam family: Bacterial small subunit ribosomal RNA
Source: RNAcentral
AUACGUAGGGUGCGAGCGUUGUCCGGAAUUACUGGGCGUAAAGAGCUCGUAGGUGGUUUGUCGCGUCGUCUGUGAAAUUCCGGGGCUUAACUCCGGGCGUGCAGGCGAUACGGGCAUAACUUGAGUACUGUAGGGGAGACUGGAAUUCCUGGUGUAGCGGUGAAAUGCGCAGAUAUCAGGAGGAACACCGGUGGCGAAGGCGGGUCGCUGGGCAGUAACUGACGCUGAGGAGCGAAAGCAUGGGUAGCGAACAGGAUUAGAUACCCUGGUAGUCCAUGCUGUAAACGGUGGGCGCUAGGUGUAGGGGUCUUCCACGACUUCUGUGCCGUAGCUAACGCAUUAAGCGCCCCGCCUGGGGAGUACGGCCGCAAGGCUAAAACUCAAAUGAAUUGACGGGG